RNAcentral lists this ribosomal RNA (450 nucleotides) under uncultured Glomus. Its description in RNAcentral is "SSU rRNA". It matches the Rfam family "Eukaryotic small subunit ribosomal RNA", at positions 569 to 1023 of the family's 1831-position model. The record is from RNAcentral. Lineage: Eukaryota; Fungi; Glomeromycota; Glomeromycetes; Glomerales; Glomeraceae.
AGCAGCCGCGGUAAUUCCAGCUCCAAUAGCGUAUAUUAAAGUUGUUGCAGUUAAAAAGCUCGUAGUUGAAUUUCGGGAUCAAUGGGUUGGUCAUGCCCUCGGUAUGUACUGAUUUCAUUGGUUCUCACCUUCUAAGGAACCAUGAUGUCAUUUAUUUGAUGUUGUGGGAAAUUAGGACUGUUACCUUGACAAAAUUAGAGUGUUUAAAGCAGGCUAACGCUUGAAUACAUUAGCAUGGAAUAAUGAAAUAGGACAUCCGAUUCUAUUUUGUUGGUUUCUAGGAUCGAUGUAAUGAUUAAUAGGGAUAGUUGGGGGCAUUAGUAUUCAAUUGUCAGAGGUGAAAUUCUUGGAUUUAUUGAAGACUAACUACUGCGAAAGCAUUUGCCAAGGAUGUUUUCAUUAAUCAAGAACGAAAGUUAGGGGAUCGAAGACGAUCAGAUACCGUCGUAG